AAGAAAACGAUGACGCGAGUUAUCGUCUCUAACGUUCGAGGACUACAAAAAACACUUGGAUUGUAGGCAACAGUUUACUUCCUGGGAUUAGUGACGUAGAUAAGACCAACAUUAUCAUAGUUCAGCCCUCUCUGCUUUGUUUGGGUACGCCCUCAAAGACGGGGGUGAGGGAGCGCCGAGUCAGAAGAGAGCUAAAAUGGCGGAGGUUGGGAGUCCCUGCUUUGACUCUGUUUGCAAACUCUUGUUUCAUCGUUUAAGCGAUUAAAUCUCUCGAGUAGACGCUGUCUCUUUAGAUGCGAGGGAAAAAUAGCACUUUAUGGACUUCCACAGAGGACAUCAUGUUUAAUACGGUUCCGGAAAAAUCCAGUCAGAAGUUGUUCACGGAGUUUUCACAAUAACUGCUUCUCAUGAACCGAAGCUGGAUUUGCGCGACGUCUCCUCUUGAAAGUUGGAUUACUGUGCACUUCUGGAUCACAGGCUAUUCGCAGCUGGACACAUCCUUCUACACUGUAUGCAAACAUGCAACAUCAUUACACACAGUACAAGGAGUCAGACUGGCAUAUGAGGAGCAAAGGAACCCAGGCAGUAGCAUCGUUUCACAAUGUUUCCAUCACCAUCAUCAGUGGAUGCCUUUGCCGUCCGUAGCCUGAGAUUUCAGAUUUGCAGCAAAAAAAAAUUGAUUUUCUCAUUUAUUGGAAUGCUGUGCAGGUAUUUGUACCUUGCAGCCAUCCAUUACAAUGUCACCAAGCCGUAACAAAAGCAGGAGAGGGAAAGUACAAGGCUAUGUUCCCAAAACACACAAAUGACAUACCUUAUGUGGAGGAUGUGAUCAGGCUUGUGUUUGAUGAGGUAUUUGAAGAUAAGCUGAAGGAAACCCCGAUUCCAAUGGACCUGGCAUCACAGUUUUAGAGACCUUCAAAGGAGGACGUGAUUGCAUGCCAUCUUCAGUGCAGGGGUCGUCGAAAGCCAAAAUUGUGACCGAUCUGAUCAGGAAGCUCCAAGCGUAUCUGGAGAACAACACACGACAGGAUGAUAACCUUAUAGUGUCGUCUUAGAUAGCACCAGUUGACAAAGCUUUGAUAUGCCAUUUAUCUGAAUAGAUAGCUGUAAGAAAUGAAUUGAACAAUUUUUGA
Molecule: long non-coding RNA, 1133 nt
Organism: Paramisgurnus dabryanus
Lineage: Eukaryota; Metazoa; Chordata; Actinopteri; Cypriniformes; Cobitidae
Source: RefSeq, a predicted model, not a curated record